UACGUAGGGUGCAAGCGUUGUCCGGAAUUAUUGGGCGUAAAGAGCUCGUAGGCGGUCUGUCGCGUCGGCUGUGAAAACCCGGAGCUCAACUCCGGGCCUGCAGUCGAUACGGGCAAACUGGAGUGUUGCAGGGGAGACUGGAAUUCCUGGUGUAGCGGUGAAGUGCGCAGAUAUCAGGAGGAACACCGGUGGCGAAGGCGGGUCUCUGGGCAACAACUGACGCUGAGGAGCGAAAGCGUGGGGAGCGAACAGG
This 253-nucleotide ribosomal RNA is filed under the name uncultured bacterium. RNAcentral describes it as "partial 16S ribosomal RNA". It matches the Rfam family "Bacterial small subunit ribosomal RNA", at positions 524 to 776 of the family's 1533-position model. The record is from RNAcentral.